This is a long non-coding RNA of Hordeum vulgare subsp. vulgare (domesticated barley), 473 nucleotides long. RefSeq lists it as uncharacterized. The record is from RefSeq and is a predicted model, not a curated record. Lineage: Eukaryota; Viridiplantae; Streptophyta; Magnoliopsida; Poales; Poaceae. The transcript has 3 exons.
CAUCGGAAUCAGUCUUUAGUACUAGCGGAAGGUUACUAAGUGCACAUCGUAGUCGUCUUACACCAAGCAUAGCUGAAGCUCUUAUGUGUAUGCAAGCUUGGUCACGAGCGGACAUGUUAGGUGAUAUAAACUUUGCUCUGCAAGCAGUUCAAUCUGUUCUUGAGGAUGAGGAAGAAAUAAUGGAUGAAAAUGAGUCCAUCAUUAGUGAAGACUAAUUUGGAGCCAAGUGUGCUGGACAUGGCAUUAAAUUACUGAAGACUAAUUUGGAGCCAUGUAUCCCUACAUGUGGACAUGCGUCUGGGUCUGCCAUUACUAGCAUGCACGUCAUUUAUUUAUUCAACUUCGGUUAUGAUGUUCAAUAAGAUCUUACAACUUUGAUUGUGAUGUAAUAUGAUUUUAAGACAAGAGUUCUACUGGGAGACUAUUUGAGUUGUCAUUGUGAGACUAUUUAAGAGUUGUCAUUAUGAUUUUAA